UUGAUGAGUUUGAAAUGUCCUUUC
Molecule: non-coding RNA, 24 nt
Filed under: Rattus norvegicus (Norway rat)
Lineage: Eukaryota; Metazoa; Chordata; Mammalia; Rodentia; Muridae
Source: RNAcentral